GAGGGUAUAGCUCAAGUGGUAGAGCUCAUGCUUAGCAUGCACAAGGUCCUGGGUUCAAUCCCCAGUACCUCUA
RNAcentral lists this transfer RNA (73 nucleotides) under Camelus bactrianus (Bactrian camel). It matches the Rfam family "tRNA". From Rfam's summary of the family: Transfer RNA (tRNA) molecules are approximately 80 nucleotides in length. Their secondary structure includes four short double-helical elements and three loops (D, anti-codon, and T loops). Further hydrogen bonds mediate the characteristic L-shaped molecular structure. tRNAs have two regions of fundamental functional importance: the anti-codon, which is responsible for specific mRNA codon recognition, and the 3' end, to which the tRNAs corresponding amino acid is attached (by aminoacyl-tRNA synthetases). tRNAs cope with the degeneracy of the genetic code in two manners: having more than one tRNA (with a specific anti-codon) for a particular amino acid; and 'wobble' base-pairing, i.e. permitting non-standard base-pairing at the 3rd anti-codon position. The record is from Rfam by way of RNAcentral. Lineage: Eukaryota; Metazoa; Chordata; Mammalia; Artiodactyla; Camelidae. RNAcentral also lists the same sequence under 2 other names.